RNAcentral lists this ribosomal RNA (254 nucleotides) under uncultured bacterium. Its description in RNAcentral is "partial 16S ribosomal RNA". It matches the Rfam family "Bacterial small subunit ribosomal RNA", at positions 524 to 776 of the family's 1533-position model. The record is from RNAcentral.
UACAGAGGUCUCAAGCGUUGUUCGGAUUCAUUGGGCGUAAAGGGCGCGUAGGCGGCCAGCACAAGUCAGUUGUGAAAUCUCCGGGCUUAGCUCGGAAAGGUCAACUGAUACUGUGCGACUAGAGUGCGGAAGGGGCAACUGGAAUUCUCGGUGUAGCGGUGAAAUGCGUAGAUAUCGAGAGGAACACCUGCGGCGAAGGCGGGUUGCUGGGCCGACACUGACGCUGAUGCGCGAAAGCCAGGGGAGCGAACGGG